Rosa chinensis is the source of this 376-nucleotide long non-coding RNA. RefSeq lists it as uncharacterized. The record is from RefSeq and is a predicted model, not a curated record. Lineage: Eukaryota; Viridiplantae; Streptophyta; Magnoliopsida; Rosales; Rosaceae. The transcript is spliced from 5 exons.
CCCACACACACUCAGGAUUGGAAGCUUGAAUCAUGGCUGAAGAUCUGGACACACCGUUGUUGGAUCCUGAGAAUUUCAAUAGAGAUGGCAUCGAUUUGGCUAUAACAAACUUGAAGAGAAGACAGUGAACAAAAUUUUGAAGUUUCUUAGCUUUAUGUGGAACCCCUUGUCAUGGGUUAUGGAAGCUGCAGCAGUUAUGGCACUUGUCCUUGCUAAUGGGGGAGGUGAGGGUCCUGACUGGCAAGACUUUGUUGGGAUUAUUGUCCUAUUAAUAAUCAAUUCAACAAUUAGUUUCAUAGAGGAGAAUAAUGCGCGAAAUGCUGCAUCAGCUCUUAUGGAACGUUUAUCUCCAAAGACAAGGAUGAGUUAAAUGCCU